RNAcentral lists this unclassified non-coding RNA (204 nucleotides) under uncultured Halomonadaceae bacterium. RNAcentral describes it as "contains 16S-23S intergenic spacer region". Lineage: Bacteria; Pseudomonadati; Pseudomonadota; Gammaproteobacteria; Oceanospirillales; Halomonadaceae. The record is from RNAcentral.
UCCGGUUUGUCACCGGCAGUCUCCCUAGAGUUCCCGACCGUAUCGCUGGCAAAUAGGGACAAGGGUUGCGCUCGUUACGGGACUUAACCCAACAUUUCACAACACGAGCUGACGACAGCCAUGCAGCACCUGUCUGAGCGUUCCCGAAGGCACCAAGGUAUCUCUACCAAGUUCGCUCGAUGUCAAGGGUAGGUGGGGAUGACG